UUUUUUUUUUUUUUUUACCGAAGAAGUAACUUUUCAAAAAAUGACUAUUCAAGAGCCCAUUGAAUGAAACAAUAGACAUUAAGAUAAAAUCACAAAAAAGUCUUUCAAGUGUAUAUUCUCUGCCAAAGAUUUUCAAAGAAAUCCAAAACAAAAGCCAAAAUCACAGGAUUAAUUAAAGAUAAAAACCAAAACUGGAGUUUCUUGACUAAGAACUAAGGAAACAGGCUACUUUAGUCCUCUUCGUCGAUGACCUUGGUGCCCAGACCCUUGAAUCCCUCUGGAGGAAUCUCAGUAACAGUGACAAGUGAGUAAAACUCCUCCUUUGCGUCCUCUUCAUCGUUUCUCUUCCUUGCAAUUCUAACACGAACUCUCCUUGGCACGCUCCUGA
This 388-nucleotide unclassified non-coding RNA is filed under the name Hevea brasiliensis (rubber tree). Lineage: Eukaryota; Viridiplantae; Streptophyta; Magnoliopsida; Malpighiales; Euphorbiaceae. The record is from RNAcentral.